UACGAAGGGGGGCUAGCGUUGUUCGGAAUUACUGGGCGUAAAGCGCGCGCAGGUGGUCUUUCAAGUCAGUGGUGAAAGCCCGGAGCUCAACUCCGGAAAUGCCAUUGAAACUGUAAGACUUGAGGAUGAGAGAGGUGAGUGGAAUUCCCAGUGUAGAGGUGAAAUGCGUAGAGAUCGGGAGGAACACCAGAGGCGAAGGCGGCUCGCUGGACAGUGACUGACACUCAACUACGAAAGCGUGGGGAGCAAACAGG
This 254-nucleotide ribosomal RNA is filed under the name uncultured bacterium. Its description in RNAcentral is "partial 16S ribosomal RNA". It matches the Rfam family "Bacterial small subunit ribosomal RNA", at positions 524 to 776 of the family's 1533-position model. The record is from RNAcentral.